CCUACUGGAGACUUCAUUGGGGCAUCUUGGGCAAUGGGCGCAAGCCUGACCCAUCAACGCCGCGUGAAGUCCUCCUUCUUUCUUUUUUUCCCCUUCUUUUCCCUUUUCCUCUCAGAAGACGGUACCCUGAAAACAAGCCACGGCUAACUACGUGCCAGCAGCCGCGGUAAUACGUAGGUGGCAAGCGUUGUCCGGAUUUACUGGGUGUAAAGGGCGUGUAGCCGGGAAGGCAAGUCAGAUGUGAAAUCCGGAGGCUCAACCUCCGAAUUGCAUUUGAAACUGUUUUUCUUGAGUACUGGAGAGGCAGACGGAAUUCCUUGUGUAGCGGUGAAAUGCGUAGAUAUAAGGAGGAACACCAGUGGCGAAGGCGGUCUGCUGGACAGCAACUGACGGUGAGGCGCGAAAGCGUGGGGAGCAAACAGGAUUAGAGAACAUAGUAGUC
RNAcentral lists this ribosomal RNA (442 nucleotides) under uncultured bacterium. RNAcentral describes it as "partial 16S ribosomal RNA". It matches the Rfam family "Bacterial small subunit ribosomal RNA", at positions 338 to 795 of the family's 1533-position model. The record is from RNAcentral.